This 313-nucleotide ribosomal RNA is filed under the name uncultured eukaryote. RNAcentral describes it as "partial large subunit ribosomal RNA". It matches the Rfam family "Eukaryotic large subunit ribosomal RNA", at positions 40 to 350 of the family's 3401-position model. The record is from RNAcentral.
AUAUUACUAAGCGGAGGAAAAGAAAUCAACGAAGAUUGCCUCAGUAGCGGCGAGUGAAGCGGCUAUAGCUCAAGCUUAGAGUCUGUGAUCGUCUCGGUCACCGAAUUGUAAUCUAAAGGGGUAAGCAAAAGGGGAAAUCGAGGUAUAAGUUCCUUGGAAAAGGACAUCAUAGAGGGUGAAAAUCCCGUAUGUAACCUCUGUUGAACCGAAUGUUUUCCUUCUAAGAGUCGGGUUGUUUGGGAAUGCAGUCCUAAAUGGGUGGUAAAUUUCAUCUAAAGCUAAAUAUUGGCGAGAGACCGAUAGCGCACAAGUA